AACGCGAAGAACCUUACCAAGGCUUGACAUACGCCGGAAACAUCCAGAGAUGGGUGCCCCCUUGUGGUCGGUGUACAGGUGGUGCAUGGCUGUCGUCAGCUCGUGUCGUGAGAUGUUGGGUUAAGUCCCGCAACGAGCGCAACCCUUGUUCUGUGUUGCCAGCAUGCCUUUCGGGGUGAUGGGGACUCACAGGAGACUGCCGGGGUCAACUCGGAGGAAGGUGGGGACGACGUCAAGUCAUCAUGCCCCUUAUGUCUUGGGCUGCACACGUGCUACAAUGGCCGGUACAAUGAGCUGCGAUACCGUGAGGUGGAGCGAAUCUCAAAAAGCCGGUCUCAGUUCGGAUUGGGGUCUGCAACUCGACCCCAUGAAGUCGGAGUCGCUAGUAAUCGCAGAUCAGCAUUGCUGCGGUGAAUACGUUCCCGGGCCUUGUACACACCG
Molecule: ribosomal RNA, 441 nt
Filed under: uncultured bacterium
Lineage: Bacteria
Description: bacterial SSU rRNA
Rfam family: Bacterial small subunit ribosomal RNA
Source: RNAcentral